Molecule: ribosomal RNA, 285 nt
Filed under: Triticum aestivum (bread wheat)
Lineage: Eukaryota; Viridiplantae; Streptophyta; Magnoliopsida; Poales; Poaceae
Description: partial small subunit ribosomal RNA
Source: RNAcentral
AUGAAGGCUUCGAUGAAAAUGUUGGUCAGCAGUCGGUUGCCUCAACAGAUGAUGAAAAUGAUGGUCAACAGCCGGUUGCAUCAGAUGAGGAUUUUGAUGAGGUUCCAAAUGAUGAUGGUCAACAGCCGCAUGAUUUUGACGACGAUCCAAAAUAUCCUCCAAAUAAUGAUUCAAGUGAAUCUCCAAAUGGUGAUCCAAGUGAGGCUCCAAAUGAUGAUCCAAGUGAGGCUCCAAAUGAUGAUCCAAGUGAGGCUCCAAAUGGUGACCAACCUUAUGUUGUUGUGA